UUUAUUUAUUUACUUAUUUAUUUCAGCUGGGACUUCAAUGUACCUUUCGACCAGGCAAAAUAGUGAUCAUCUGAUUUUUGGGGAAGCUUCUCAAAAUAAUUUUAUGGACGUCUACAUAGGACAGUUAAGGACUGAAUGUCUUUCCUAUAGAGAUUAUGAUGAUAUUAAAAUCAAAAAGUGCCAAACCCCAUCAUUUUGAAUAUACACCUAGGGUCACACCGUUCAUGAGGCAAACAAGACUAAAAAUUGGUAAUUGAUUACAACAGGUAAGCUCCUCUGACAGAAGGCGUUUGGAGUCUUCAAAAGGUGCAGCUGAAAGAUCAAAUGUGAAAUUAAAGUUUAAUGAAGGUGAUGGUUGUUCCUCUACCCAUUUCCCCACCCCCCCCGGGGGAUCAGAAGAUCAUUUAAUAAGGCUGUUUUUAUACACAAAUGCAACUUGUUUAUUUUGACCUCAGUUCUUCGAAAUUGUCGACGCCACACUGAAAUAUGCUGUGUGUUCCAACAAGGACCCAGCAGUCGUAAUGACAGACCAGCCCAUCUGUGCUGCGAGAAUGUAUAAUUUCAGUCUAUAGUGGAAUUUAUAUAGAAGCGAGAUCAUGUGAAAACUGAGAUGCGUGGUACUUUCUUCGAAAAAAAUAUCGCUACAUGAUAUUUGGUCUCAUCUAACUAUCCCAACUGCAUAAGAUGUAUGCUGGAAAAUGUAUUAUCCAGAUACAGUAAGACGAUUAGAGGAACAGAACCUCAGAGGAAGAUACUAAUUUAGAGGGAAAAUGCUCAUUUAUGGAGAUUAAUUGAUUUUAUGCUACCUGCCCCUACCCUGUCCAAAAAGACGGCGAGUUAACUCUCAGGAAAUGGGACUAUCGCUCCAGGAUUUAGAAUUAAAGGCCGAUUCACCAACGUUAAUUAUAACAAAAAAUAAAAUUAAAAAAAAAAGGAGGAGUGGGCAGCUCUGAGAAGUCUAAAUUCUUUCCAAAUGAUUACCCCCCUCCCCGCCCCCUCUACCAGCUUCUCUAGUCUCUCGACUCCUCUGCCUUUAGAAUUUAUGACACUCUGUUUCUUGCUAUUACUUUUAUUUUGCCACCAGUGUUUUAUUUGGUGCUUGCUAAAUAUUUGGGUGGAGUGAUCUUCCAGCUUGCAGCAGCAGAAUGUGGCUGUCAUAGUCAUGAAAAUGUUUUAAUUAUCUCUGCUACAGAGAUGCCUGUCUCUGCAGCCCCAAGUCCUCCAGUACCGACUGCUGUCUAAUCUAAGAACAAAAGCGGCCGCAGAUAUUCCUCGUGCGCUGAGCUCACUUUCAACAUUUGCUGGUGUCUGCUCCGGCCAGCCGGCGGCUCAGGCCGGCACACACAGGACCCGAACGCCUCUGAUGCCAGAAAAUAACCAAAAAACCUAUUUACGUGGGAAUUUUCCUCUGAGUUGCACCCCAGCACUUCCUGGGCCUGAUCUCCCAUGUUCUGUAAAUCAAGACCCUGGCUACCCUCGAACGUGGGGAACCCAGGCUGUGUCUGCGGGAGCUUUGUCAGCCUGCCAGAGGAGCGAGGUGAGCUUGGAGCUGCACUCUGCAAAGACCACGUCUUAAAUGAAAAGCUUCAGGGACCAACAGAGAAACGCGGGCAGCCAUGGACCCCAGUUCCUGGACAGCAGCGGCAGCGUGGCCUGGGGACUGACUCCCUGCCCGACGGUCCACCGUUCAGCCCUGGCCAGUCAGGAUGGCUGGGGCCACAGCUCUGCAGGUGGGAAACCAGGACAGGAUCAGGGCACAGGCAGGCCCUGGGACCACUCAGGGCCCCCGAGGGCUGGUCUGGUGGACGUGCCCCCCGUGAGCCGUCUGUGGGCAGGGCAGUUAUAAACCAGGCAGGGCAAGGCUAGCUGGAAGCCCCGGGCUUAAAUAAGUGCUUAAAAAAACAAAGCCCCAAACAACCGAAGAGAUUUCCCCCACACUGAGCUGAGCACCGAAAAGAGCUUCUUCUUCCCCCCCCGGCCCCCCCAAAAAUAAAAUAAAAGGGAGAAAGAACUGGAUUCCUAAACUUGUGGACAUGGCAGCAUUCAAGAUGCCGGAUGAAAUGAAAGGGCCUCUGUUUCUCAAAGCAGCACCCACCCUCCCGUGUGCCAGCCUGGCCCUGCCUGCCGAGGAGUUUGCUGGAAGGAGCAUGGAUGGUUCUGGUGUUUUUCCCUGUGCCAC
RNAcentral lists this long non-coding RNA (2179 nucleotides) under Sus scrofa (pig). Its description in RNAcentral is "lncRNA (ENSSSCG00035024313.1)". The record is from RNAcentral. Lineage: Eukaryota; Metazoa; Chordata; Mammalia; Artiodactyla; Suidae.